Molecule: transfer RNA, 80 nt
Filed under: Blumeria graminis f. sp. tritici
Lineage: Eukaryota; Fungi; Ascomycota; Leotiomycetes; Helotiales; Erysiphaceae
Also listed under: 1 other name
Rfam family: tRNA
About the family: Transfer RNA (tRNA) molecules are approximately 80 nucleotides in length. Their secondary structure includes four short double-helical elements and three loops (D, anti-codon, and T loops).
Source: Rfam by way of RNAcentral
GGGCUUGUGGUUUAGUGGUAUAAUACUCCCUUAGCAUUGAACAAUGGGAGUGGUCCGGGGUUCGAUUCCCCGGAAGUCCA